CUCUUCAAUGAUACAAUAUACCACAACAUUCAUUAUGGCCGUCUUUCAGCAACAAAAGAAGAGGUGUAUGAAGCUGCUCGACGUGCAGCAAUACAUGAUACUAUCAUGAACUUUCCCGACAGAUAUUCUACUGAAGUGGGGGAACGGGGGCUCAAGUUAAGUGGUGGGGAGAAGCAGCGUGUGGCACUGGCUCGUGCAUUCUUGAAAGCACCUCCAAUUCUGUAA
RNAcentral lists this long non-coding RNA (225 nucleotides) under Rosa chinensis. Its description in RNAcentral is "sRNA RchiOBHm_Chr5g0073971". Lineage: Eukaryota; Viridiplantae; Streptophyta; Magnoliopsida; Rosales; Rosaceae. The record is from RNAcentral.